UCUCAACUUCCACGUGGCUYACCUCCUCAGUUAUGCGUCAAGGCUUGUAUCGCCUAGAGCGUAUUGUUGGUUUUCUGUAUUGGAUACCUAAUCGAAGGUAUUAUUUUGAUCGAUCGGAGUCCCUUUUCGUCUUGUUGCAUUUUGUGUCGCAUGAUGAACGUUGAAGCGGUCUCUAUGUUCCAUCACGUUGAUGCACUUGCAUUGAUGUUGUGGCCCAUUGAGCUUUGUUUGGUUUCUUGGAUAUGGAACAUGAAGUGGGCAUGGGGCUGUCAUGAUCCUCUUUUUGCCCUCGUAUGGUGUUCUUGAACGACRGGUCAUGCGCGCSUAGGCKCGUAUCUGCGUG
Molecule: unclassified non-coding RNA, 343 nt
Filed under: Tephroseris papposa
Lineage: Eukaryota; Viridiplantae; Streptophyta; Magnoliopsida; Asterales; Asteraceae
Description: partial external transcribed spacer
Source: RNAcentral